CUCCCCCCCCCCCCNCCCCCCAGCUUCUGAAUUGUCACUCCUCCUACGGUUUAUGGAGGAUAGAUAUUACGCUCUGAUCGGUGAUUUACUUUGAUUGGUCGUUUGUCAAGCGUUCGGCCUUCUCUUUUUUUUGUUGUUGGCAGAUUGCACAGUGGGGUUUGCUCUGUUGUUGAAUCUUUCUCUUCAUCAUCUGUUUUGGUGUUUGAUCUCUCGGUGGGUGAUGGUUCUGAUGGCUCCUUGUCUUCUAUGCGCUCUACAUCUUCAGAACAUCGUGUUCUCCUGUGUCUUUUAGUGUUUUUUAAGAUUCUCUUGAUGCAUACACACAUUCAAAUAAUCAUUCAAUGACCCUGAAGUCGCAGCUACAAGAGUUAACUCCGGAACAGCAGGGUAUACACUUUGAGGGGCUUGUCUCGUGUUUGAUGCUAACCCAUUGGUGUUCUGAUCUAUGUAACCAGAGGCUGCAACAAUCUUGCUCAGUAAUUCAGAUAGGCUUCAGAUGCAAAGCUCUACCGACCUGAUUGUGGAGGUUGCUUUGCUCGGUGGGUGAUGGUUCUGAUGGAUCCCUGUCUUCUCUGCGCUACCUCUUAAGAUGACGUUCUUGCUGUGUACGCGACAUUCAGAUGAGAGAUCGAUGAUCCACAGAUUAUCCCCUACACGAAUCGUGGAGGCACCAGGGGGACUGAUAUGAUAAAGUUUGUGCCUUUAUGUGUGUGUUUUUAUUGCAUAUAUUUACAAGCUGACAUCAUUGUUCGUGGUUAUGCUGGUUGGAAUUCUAGGUUUGCCUUGAAGGUCUUAGACCAAGUCUCCCAAAGGUACACUCUUCGUUUGACACUCUUGUAGUCAGAUCACGAGGAACUAAGGUUUCUGUGUGGGAGUGCGUUUGAUUUCUGAGUUCAACUUUCAGGCAGCAUCAAGAACCUGAAGCCUCUUUGACAGGCUUUGAUGGAAACACUUCUUCUAUGUGCUACGUCUUCAAGGGGUGUUUUGGAACCCAAUUAUGAUAUGAUCAUGGCGUAAUCUUCUCCAGGCUGCUACGUCUUCAGGCACGUUCUCACAGAUUUGUGGAGGAUGCUACGAUUGAUCGGUGAUGGAUUUGACUAAUCGUUGUCACUCUAAUUCAUAUUGUGGAGGAGGAUGCUUUGAUCGGUUGGUGAUGGUCUUGAACUUUGAUAGAUCAUUUUUGUCUUCUCUGCGCUACAUCUUCAUGUAAUCUCUUGGACCUUGUUGUUGUUUUUGUUGUGACCAUGGCGUUUCUCACUACAACUAAUCUCAUCUUCAACUCCGACCAAGAAGCAGAUCCAAGAUGGUUUUGAAGAAUUGGAAAGUCUCAUAACAUACCUCAACAAGUUCGUGUUCUUCGUAAUCCUCCUGGUUCACCAUCUAGAUAUGGUGCAAGCCAGUGUCGUUUUGCAAGUGUGGAUCGGAGGACCUUGCUCUGUCCAUGAUAGCAACGAUCCUCUCUCUCUCGGAACAACCUAUCUAAUGCAAUUUGCAAGGAGAGACCACGAGAGGAUAAUAAGAGUCAGAUGAAUUUUAUUUAAAGAGUUAAAGAGAUGUUGGAGGACAACAGUUGGCUCAUGAAAUCCGGAGGGAUCUGUGCUCGCUGCUGGUGCAGAGGAUGGGACUUUCAAUGGCCUAGCUUGCAUGAGAACAUUGCUUAAUGGUGGUCCACUUUGCCGGGUUUUGAGAGGUGAGUGCUUCUACUGCUGUUGUCAGUCUAUCAAAGGAGAAGGUCGAGAUGCUUGCCUCCUGUAGAUUUUACGGGAACAAUGCAGCCAAAUGAAAUUCUUUACAUUGCUAUUGCACAGUGGGGUUCGCUCCGUUGUUGAAUCUUUCUCUUCAUCAUCUGUUUUGAUUUUGGAGGGUGCUUUGCUCGGUGGGUGAUGAUAGUCUGAUGGAUCCAUGUCUUCUCUGCGCUACCUCUUCAGACCAUCGAGAUUAAUGUGUGUGAGGAGGGUUUGAAGAGAAGAAAAAAAAACAUUGUGAAAGUGAAUGGUUUGCGUAUGAAGCUAGAACCAUACAAGGAGAUUGUGUCUGCUGCUUUGUCUGGCAUUAUAACUCAGGAUGCAAGCAUGCAAGGCUAUUGGUGGGAUGAGAGGUAUGACUGGAUAGUCUGGAUUGCUUUGGGAAACCUCAUUGCUUGAUCCAUAUGAGAGGGGCAGAAUCUUGCUCAGCAAUUCAGAUAGGCUUCAGAUGCAGAGCUCUACCGACCUGGACCGUCUGAAGAAACUCAAGUCAUAAUAUUUCUUGCUAUAUGGCUAACAGACUUUCAUAUGACUCUUUUAUUCUACAAUUUUUUUUGCAGACUCCAGGACGUGAAUCUAUUGAGCUUGUGUGGCAAAUUUGACAUAGCAGGUCUCUGUCUGAUUUUGCAAACCAAUUCUUUUUUAAGCUUGCUUAUGGACCGACGUGGUUAUAUAUGGGGAAGAGUACACUCUUAAAUCAUUACAACAUGAUGACAAAGUAACACGGACAUGCGACAGCUUGUAGAGGAUGCUUUGCUCGGAGGUUAAUGGUUCUGACGAUGGAUCGUUGUCUUCUCUGCGCUACAUCUUCAGACCUUCAAGAUUAAUGUGUGAGGGUUUGAAGAGAAGAAAAAACAUUGUGGAAGUGAAUGGUUUGCGUAUGAAGCUAGAACCAUAUAAGGAGAUUGGGUUUGCUGCUCAGGAUGCAAGCAAGGUUAUUGGUGGGAAGAGAGUUAUGACUGGAUUGCUUUAGGAAACCUCAUUGCUUGAUCCAUAUGAGGGGUAUACACUUUGAGGGGUUUGUCUCGUGUUUGAUGCUAAUCGAUUGGUGUUCUGAUCUAUGUAAUCAAUCACUGUUGAUAAGGGAUGACUGGAUUACGCUAGGAAACCUUAUUGCUUGUUCUUGCUGUCUACACACGUUCAGAUGAGAGAUGGAUGAUCCACAGAUUCUUUCCUACACGAAUUGAUCGUGGAGGCACGGAGGGGGACUGAUAUGAUAAAUUUCGUACCUUUAUGUGUGUGUUUUGAUUGCUACCACAGGCUUACAUCAUUGUCCGUGGUUAUGCUGGCUGGAAUUCUAGGUUUGCCUUGAAGGUCUUCCCAAAGUUUAUCUUGAACUUGAAGGAUGCCUUUAAUCUAUCGUCGUCUUCAAUUCCUGUUACCUCUUUGAAGAUCAUGAGGAACUAGGAUUACUGUGUGGGAGGUUCGAAGAGAAAGAAAAAAAACAUUGUGGGAUUGCGAUUGAUUUCUGAGUUAAACUUUCAGGUUACCUCACAUCUAUACAUCUUUUUUGCCUAAUGUUUUGCUCUUUUUUGGUCUUCUGUUUCUUGUGUAUCGCAGAUGAUGUUGUUGCUGUGUACACACAUUCAGAUGAGAGAUGGAUGAUCCACAGAUUCUCUCCUACACGAAUCGUGGAGGCACCGGGGAGGACUAAUUUUAUAAAAGUUUGUAUGUGUUUUGAUUGCAUAACCACAGGUUGACAUCAUUGUUUAUGGUUAAUACUGGUUAUGCUGAUUGAGAUUUUAGGUAUGCCUUGAAGCUCUUAGACCAAGUCUUCCCAAAGGUCUUAGACCGUCUUAGACCAAGUCUUCCCAAAGGUACACUCUCUCUUCCCAAUGUCCAAGAAGAGCACCUCCAGGUUCCGGGCCAGCAAACACUGCAGCCAAGCCAUAUAUGUCCAAGGAGAUGGCCUUGUUAGCCUUCAAUCGGGCUCUUACUUUAAGCUAACUAAAACCAGAGGAUCUCUGAUUCUUGGUGUGGGUUUUAGAAAGAGCAAAGAGAAGUUAAAGUGCUGUCAAAAGAGUUGGCUCAUCGUCCGGCUGUGCCGGGUUUGUAGUUCAUGUCUCUACUCUUUGUUUUUGUCACCUCUAGUUUCAUGAAUUAACAUUGCAGGAUGUACAAGUAUGGUAGCAUCAUUCCAUUAGAUGAUUCUUUGGGUUAUGCUGCAAAUUUUUCACACAUGCUGGGAUAUAAUAGUCCUCAGAUGAAAGAACUCAUGUGGCUAAUGUCACCAUCCACAGGUGCCAAGCAAAGAGCAAGCUGAGGUGCUGUCAAAAGAGUUGGCUCAUCAUGCGGCUGUGCCAGAUUAUGUAUACAAAGUUAUUGAUGCUCUGCCUUCGACAGUCCAAUGACUCAAUUUGCUAGUGGUGUUAUGACCCUUCAGGUGGAUGGCUCCCAGAGUAUCUCUCUAUGGUUCAAAUACUCGGCAAGGUUCUGAGCCAGCCAAGCAUUGUCCCCUAUCUUGAAGGAUAUUCUGCCACGAUCCAAGUUUACCAGGAAACAGCUGGAUUAACAGUUAAUGAUCGUGUUCGUUCAAGGAGGCCUUUGAAGAACGAUUGCGAGAAUAUCAUGUGAUGUGCACAUCCCUCGGCGGUAUUUCUGUCCCAGCUCUUGACAAAAGAUUGUCUUUGGGACUAGUUCCUAGCCCAAUCAAUUCUGUCACAGGGAGACAGAAUAACUGGUGGUGACUUGUAACUUUUUCACCUCCUGGAGGAGACUUUUCAGAUCAUGUGACUUCUGCUUCCCUUGGUUUUAUGCAUGUAAUUAUGUCGUUCAUGGCUGUUGCUUCCCUAUCUUCCAUUGUACAUGUCUUCUGGGGUUUGGACAAAAAGAUUGCCCAGAGAAAACAUUUUCCUUCUAUUAAUUGGUUGAUUUCCUACUCAAAGUAUUCAACGGCAUCGGAGUCUUUAUAUUAGAGGUUCGAUCCAGAUUUCAUCUAAAUCAGGACAAAGGCCAGAGAGGUGUUGCAGAGGGAAGACGGUCUUAGUGGAAUUUUCCAGGUACGUGCCACUUAUCCUUGUAUAAGAAGUAUCAAUGUUGUGACUAAUGACCUCUUGUCUCAGCGAUAUACAUUUUAAGGUUUGGCAUCUAAACUUGACUUGAGUUAUAGACGAAAAUCAGUCUUGAGUUAUAUGACCAUGUUGUUUUGCGUAAAACGGAUCCAAGAUAUGUGUACUGAGUCCCUACUCUGCAAGUGAGGUUGAUCACAUUGCUAAGCAAAGGUGCGGUUAACUAUGUUCUGUUGACAAGGGCCACAAGCCAUCUAUUUUGGAGGGAUCAAUGUUGUGGAGGUUUCACAACAAUGGCUUCAGAGCAUCCUGAGGUUAAAGUGAAUCAGAUGCAGUGCUUCUUGGAGCCAUUGGAGGGUACAAAUGGGAUAACAAUGAAAAGCAUAUUGUUACAAAAUCAGAUUGAUUCACUGCAUGACUGAAACUCUUUCCUCCUC
Molecule: non-coding RNA, 5190 nt
Organism: Camelina sativa (false flax)
Lineage: Eukaryota; Viridiplantae; Streptophyta; Magnoliopsida; Brassicales; Brassicaceae
Source: RefSeq, a predicted model, not a curated record